This 468-nucleotide ribosomal RNA is filed under the name uncultured bacterium. RNAcentral's name for it is "partial 16S ribosomal RNA". It matches the Rfam family "Bacterial small subunit ribosomal RNA", at positions 28 to 507 of the family's 1533-position model. The record is from RNAcentral.
GACGAACGCUGGCGGCGUGCUUAACACAUGCAAGUCGAACGGAAAGGCCCUGCUUUUGUGGGGUGCUCGAGUGGCGAGCGGGUGAGUAACACGUGAGUAACCUUCCCUUGACUUUGGGAUAACUGCAGGAAACUGGGGCUAAUACCGGAGAGGAGCUCCUGCUGCAUGGGGGGGUUUGGAAAGUUUCGUCGGUGGGGGAUGGACUCGCGGCUUAUCAGCUUGUUGGUUGGGUAGUGGCUUACCAAGGCUUUGACAGGUAGCCGGCCUGAGAGGGUGACCGGCGACAUGGGUACUGAGAUACGGCCCAGACUCGUAUGGGAGGCAGAAGUGGGGAAUAUUGCACAGUGGGCGGAAGCCUGAGGCAGCAACGUCGCGUGCGGGAUGACGGCCUUCGGGGUGUAAACCGCUUUCGCCUGUGACGAAGCGUGAGUGACGGUACUGGGUAAAGAAGCACCGGCUAACUACGUG